AGCCUUGGGUCCUAUCCAAGGUGAAACCUGCCCAGUGCGUAUAGUCAACGGCCGCAGUACCCUGACUGUGCUAAGGUAGCAUAAUCAGUUGGCUUUUAAAUGGAGCCGGGAAUGAACGGAUUCAUGGGGUUAAGCUGUCUCUUUUAUAUUAAAUUAAAUUUACUCAUUAGGUGAAAAUGCCUAAAUUUUGAAAAAAGACGAGAAGACCCUAGGAGUUUUCACUAAGACUAAGUAAAAGUUACGUUUUUGUUGGGGCGACAUGAGAGGAGUAGAACCUCUUUUUCUUUAUUUGCCGACUCAGUAUGAAAAUUUAAACUACCCUAGGGAUAACAGCGUAAUUCUUUUUGAGUUUGCGACCUCGAUGUUGGACUAGGAAUUUGGUGGGCUAGCCGCCUAUUAGAAUUGUUCUGUUCGAACUAUUUUUCCUACGU
RNAcentral lists this ribosomal RNA (431 nucleotides) under Placida dendritica. RNAcentral describes it as "partial 16S ribosomal RNA". It matches the Rfam family "Bacterial large subunit ribosomal RNA", at positions 1817 to 2601 of the family's 2925-position model. Lineage: Eukaryota; Metazoa; Mollusca; Gastropoda; Limapontiidae. The record is from RNAcentral.